AAUCCGAUUUCUUUGGCGCCGCGAUUUGAAGGUACCGUUUGAGGAGGAAGUCCUCCUGAUUAAAAAAUAUAUGGGGUUAUAGGUACCGCAAACGCUUAGUUUACGAGAUAUUCGACCUUGAAGUUCAAAAAUUCGCAAAAUUCGAACUUUUCAAGAAGCUAUUUCACCACGUUAAACCCACUUUAUUCACAUUUUUCUCUUCAAAUUAAUUAAAUUACACUAUAAUCUUUUAAAUAAAUCCACAUUUUACACUUUUA
Bactrocera neohumeralis is the source of this 257-nucleotide long non-coding RNA. RefSeq lists it as uncharacterized. The transcript is spliced from 2 exons. NCBI's taxonomy places the organism in Eukaryota, Metazoa, Arthropoda, Insecta, Diptera, Tephritidae. The record is from RefSeq and is a predicted model, not a curated record.